GACGAACGCUGGCGGCGUGCCUAAUACAUGCAAGUAGAACGCUGAAGAGAGGAGCUUGCUCUUCUUGGAUGAGUUGCGAACGGGUGAGUAGCGCGUAGGUAACCUGCCUUGUAGCGGGGGAUAACUAUUGGAAACGAUAGCUAAUACCGCAUAACAAUGGAUGACACAUGUCAUUUAUUUGAAAGGGGCAAUUGCUCCACUACAAGAUGGACCUGCGUUGUAUUAGCUAGUAGGUGAGGUAACGGCUCACCUAGGCGACGAUACAUAGCCGACCUGAGAGGGUGAUCGGCCACACUGGGACUGAGACACGGCCCAGACUCCUACGGGAGGCAGCAGUAGGGAAUCUUCGGCAAUGGGGGCAACCCUGACCGAGCAACGCCGCGUGAGUGAAGAAGGUUUUCGGAUCGUAAAGCUCUGUUGUAGUCAAGAACGAGUGUGAGAGUGGAAAGUUCACACUGUGACGGUAGCUUACCAGAAAGGGACGGCUAACUACGUGCCAGCCGCCGCUGUAA
Molecule: ribosomal RNA, 512 nt
Filed under: uncultured bacterium
Lineage: Bacteria
Description: partial 16S ribosomal RNA
Rfam family: Bacterial small subunit ribosomal RNA
Source: RNAcentral